This 591-nucleotide long non-coding RNA is filed under the name Homo sapiens (human). RNAcentral describes it as "HSALNT0287074". The record is from RNAcentral. Lineage: Eukaryota; Metazoa; Chordata; Mammalia; Primates; Hominidae.
GCAAGCGAAAGUGACCUAAGAUGAUGUGGAAGUUCUUAAGAAACGCCUGGACCUGGAAAGCCUAGUCCCUUUUCCUGUGUUUCUCUAGGAAGAAAGAUGCUGCAGUAGGCUUUGUGUGAACAGCGGAUCUUGCAAAUGUCUUUGGCAGUUUUGCGACUCUCUGUCUGUAAGAUCCCGGCCACGGUUAACACACUGAGGAACCAAACGCCGCUCAGCAUCUUUAGGCACCUUCGGUGUCAACUCAGAUGUGCCACUAGCUUCUGGAUCUUCCUGUGUCCAUCUGCAAAAGGCAGCUCCUUGGACCCAAGAGUCUUCCAUUGUGGAAUCAAUUCGCAAGGGGGCCACCUACUCUCAGAUUAUGCCCAGCACUGCCUGGGACUGGAUGGCUAAAUUUAAUUCAGAAGUCUUUGCCGGGAAGUCCAAUUAUGGCCAUAGACCAAACCAAGUUAUUGAAUUUAUUGUUAACAGUAAUGAACCUGGUAUUUUGAGCUCCAUCUGUCUGAUACUUGCAUUUACUUCUUAAUUAGUUAUGAAACCACAGUGUGUUGAAAAGCGUUAACAUGAUCACCACCAAUUGCCCACCAGUAGGCA